GACGAACGUUGGCGGCGUGCUUAAUACAUGCAAGUCAACUGAAGCAGUGGUAGCAAUAUCGCUGUGGAGGUGGCGCACGGGUGAGUAACACGUAGGUAAUCUGCCUUCAGGUCUGGCAUAGCUCCGGGAAACCGGGGCUAAUAGCAGAUGAUGCAGCGGCUCGACAUCGAGACAGUUGUUAAAGCUAUGGCGCCUGAAGAUGAGCCUGCGUCUGAUUAGCUAGGUGGCGGGGUAACGGCCCACCAAGGCAACGAUCAGUAGCUGGUCUGAGAGGAUGAUCAGCCACACUGGAACUGAGACACGGUCCAGACUCCUACGGGAGGCAGCAGUCAGGAAUAUUGCUCAAUGGGCGAAAUCCUGAAGCAGCAACGCCGCGUGAGGGACGAAGGGCUUUUGCUUGUAAACCUCUGUAGUGAGAGAAAAAAAUCCCAAUCUUUGGGACAUGAUGGUAUCUCAAAAGUAAGCCCCGGCUAACUACGUG
This 481-nucleotide ribosomal RNA is filed under the name uncultured bacterium. Its description in RNAcentral is "partial 16S ribosomal RNA". It matches the Rfam family "Bacterial small subunit ribosomal RNA", at positions 28 to 507 of the family's 1533-position model. The record is from RNAcentral.